GACGAACGCUGGCGGCGUGCUUAACACAUGCAAGUCGAACGGAAAGGCCCUGCUUUUGUGGGGUGCUCGAGUGGCGAACGGGUGAGUAACACGUGAGUAACCUGCCCUUGACUUUGGGAUAACUUCAGGAAACUGGGGCUAAUACCGGAUAGGAGCUCCUGCUGCAUGGUGGGGGUUGGAAAGUUUCGGCGGUUGGGGAUGGACUCGCGGCUUAUCAGCUUGUUGGUGGGGUAGUGGCUUACCAAGGCUUUGACGGGUAGCCGGCCUGAGAGGGUGACCGGCCACAUUGGGACUGAGAUACGGCGCAGACGGCUACGGGAGGCAGCAGUGGGGAAUAUUGCACAAUGGGCGGAAGCCUGAUGCAGCAACGCCGCGUGCGGGAUGACGGCCUUCGGGUUGUAAACCGCUUUCGCCUGUGACGAAGCGUGAGUGACGGUAAUGGGUAAAGAAGCACCGGCUAACUACGUG
This 468-nucleotide ribosomal RNA is filed under the name uncultured bacterium. RNAcentral's name for it is "partial 16S ribosomal RNA". It matches the Rfam family "Bacterial small subunit ribosomal RNA", at positions 28 to 507 of the family's 1533-position model. The record is from RNAcentral.